CAUCAAUGAUGCUAUGAAGAAGCC
RNAcentral lists this non-coding RNA (24 nucleotides) under Arabidopsis thaliana (thale cress). Lineage: Eukaryota; Viridiplantae; Streptophyta; Magnoliopsida; Brassicales; Brassicaceae. The record is from RNAcentral.